UGUUUGAAACUGAAAAGAAAAUUCAGAUGUCAUUAACGCCCAUGAGAAAAUGUCUGAAAGUAACAUGGAGCGGGAAUGCACAGAAAAUAACAGAAAAUUCAGAUGUCAUGGAGCGGAAUGCACAGAAAAUAACAGAAAACUCAGAUGUCAUGGAGCGGAACCAAUUGGAGCCGUUGAGAGAAUGCUUUAAAAAAGCAUGUGAAAAAAAAUUCAAAUUUCAAACCAACUGGAGUAAACCAUGGUAUUCAAACCAUGUAAACCACGGUACGGAGUUCAUUUUAAAGGAAGGGAUGGUAAAUAUUUGGGCAAAGGCAGUCGCCAUUGUCUGUGUCGCAUUUGCAUGUUUAAGAUCAUAACCCUAACCUCUGUCAAACCAAUUAAUGUUCUUUUAUUUUUUUCUGUCAGUGCUUUGUUCUGUCUUUCUGUUAUUUCUUUCAUUAUUUUUUUCCCAUACAUUGUUUUGUUCUGUUGUUUCAUUAUUUCUUGUUUUUCCUUUUUUUUGGAGCCUGCUACAGUGUGCACACUAGUUUGUCCGUCAUGAGCUUUAUCUAUUGUUUUUUCUUUUUCAUUUUUUUUUUCACAUUUUGUAUGGUAGAAAAUGAAGAGGAAAAGCAGAGGAGGUAGGAUUCAAGAAAUAGCAGCUGAUUGAGGGAAAAAAUCUUCGUCCAGCCGGUCAUGGCACUGACAAUGGAUUCACUGGUGGGACCAUUUCUCAGAGGCGGCCUUGCUAAGCUCGUCAUAACUACUUCUGAACCUGCUCGCUGGAAAAAGCUUGUGGAGUGGGACAGAAGAUCUUACUUCUUGGUUUGUUUGCUGGUUGUUGUAACACAGAGAAGUUGCAAUCAUUGAAGUUGACAUGUUUGGUGAGGUUGACGUGAAUGAUUACAAACAGGACCUGGGUGGUAGCAUGUUGCAGCGAAAAAACUGCAGUUUGAUAAGAAGGAUCCUAAAGUGAGCUGAGCAGCUAUAUGAAUUAUUUUUCAUCAUGAUGUAUAAAAACAACCUAUUGACUUGAUAGCAUUGUAAUAUGUACAAAGAUAGUGCUUAAUAAAUUUUUUUGGAAGGGGUUAAAAACCUCUUCUGAAGACUGAAGGGAAUAGUCAUUGGCCAUGGUUAUUCCUCGAGGUCGUGUUUUUUGGUACCUUAAAGAAUGGUCAAUAGGCCAAGACCAUUCUUUAAGGUUUGUGUCUCUCUUUUUUUUUGCAUUCUUUUUAUUAGUUUAAUUUUUAUUU
Molecule: long non-coding RNA, 1232 nt
Organism: Cryptomeria japonica (Japanese cedar)
Lineage: Eukaryota; Viridiplantae; Streptophyta; Pinopsida; Cupressales; Cupressaceae
Exons: 5
Source: RefSeq, a predicted model, not a curated record